GACGAACGCUGGCGGCGUGCCUAACACAUGCAAGUCGAACGGAAAGGCCCUGCUUUUGCGGGGUGCUCGAGUGGCGAACGGGUGAGUAAAACGUGAGUAAACUGCCCCUGACUGUGGGAUAACUUUAGGAAACUGGGGCUAAUACCGGAUAGGAGAUAUUGAAGCAUGGUGGGGGUUGGAAAGUUUCGGCGGUUGGGGCUGGACUCGCGGCUUAUCAGCUUGUUGGUGGAGUAGUGGCGUACCAAGGUUUCGAAGGCUAGCCGGCCUGGGAGGGUGACCAGCCACAUGAGUACUGAGAUACGGCCCAGACGCCAACGUGAGGCAGCGGUGGAGAAUAUUACACAACGGGCGCAAGCCUGAUACAACGGCGCCGCGUUCGGAAUGACGGCCUUCGGGUUGUAAACCGCUUUCGCCUUAGACGAAGCGUGAGUGACGGUAAUGGGUAAAGAAGCACCGGCUAACUACGUG
This 468-nucleotide ribosomal RNA is filed under the name uncultured bacterium. RNAcentral describes it as "partial 16S ribosomal RNA". It matches the Rfam family "Bacterial small subunit ribosomal RNA", at positions 28 to 507 of the family's 1533-position model. The record is from RNAcentral.